CUGACGAGGGAAACUAAAUCAUCCUUGUUCCAUGAACCUUAAAUUAGGGUAAAAAUGCCCCAAUAACUUAGGAGGACGACAAGACCCUAUAAAACUUUACCACACCUAUCUAAAUCCCCAAAGUAAAUAAAUUAAGAUAUUAGUGGUUAGCUGGGGCGGCCAUCCCCCUCCGGGGGGUACCCUAACACCUUGAGUGAUCCUUCGAACCCCUCUUAGUAGAAAGAUCAAGUUACUUUAGGGAUAACAGCGUAAUUGGCCCGUAGAGCCCCUAUCGAUGGGCCAGUUUACGACCUCGAUGUUGAAUUGGAAUCCCAUCUGGGAGCAGCCCCUCAGAAAGGAAGUCUGUUCGACUUUUAAAUUUCCACAUGAU
RNAcentral lists this ribosomal RNA (370 nucleotides) under Excirolana braziliensis. Its description in RNAcentral is "partial 16S ribosomal RNA". It matches the Rfam family "Bacterial large subunit ribosomal RNA", at positions 1683 to 2604 of the family's 2925-position model. The record is from RNAcentral. Lineage: Eukaryota; Metazoa; Arthropoda; Malacostraca; Isopoda; Cirolanidae.